This 133-nucleotide ribosomal RNA is filed under the name uncultured bacterium. Its description in RNAcentral is "partial 16S ribosomal RNA". It matches the Rfam family "Bacterial small subunit ribosomal RNA", at positions 355 to 507 of the family's 1533-position model. The record is from RNAcentral.
CCUGGAAUUUGCGCAAUGGGGGAAACCUGACGCAGCAACGCCGCGUGGAGGAUGAAAUCCCUUGGGAUGUAAACUCCUUUCGAUAGGGAAGAUAAUGACGGUACCUAUAGAAGAAGCCCCGGCUAACUUCGUG